Molecule: ribosomal RNA, 481 nt
Filed under: uncultured bacterium
Lineage: Bacteria
Description: bacterial SSU rRNA
Rfam family: Bacterial small subunit ribosomal RNA
Source: RNAcentral
GAUGAACGCUAGCUACAGGCUUAACACAUGCAAGUCGAGGGGCAGCAUGAAGUCAGCUUGCUGACUUUGAUGGCGACCGGCGCACGGGUGAGUAACGCGUAUCCAACCUUCCCCUUACUCAGGAAUAGCCCGUUGAAAGACGGAUUAAUGCCUGAUGUUCUCAUGUUGCCGCAUGGCGAUAUGAGCAAAGAUUCAUCGGUAAGGGAUGGGGAUGCGUAUGAUUAGCUUGUUGGCGGGGUAACGGCCCACCAAGGCGACGAUCAUUAGGGGUUCUGAGAGGAAGGUCCCCCANACUGGAACUGAGACACGGUCCAGACUCCUACGGGAGGCAGCAGUGAGGAAUAUUGGUCAAUGGGCGAGAGCCUGAACCAGCCAAGUCGCGUGAGGGAAGACGGGUACUAAGGGAUUGUAAACUUCUUUUAUACGGGAAUAACAUCACCUACGUGUAGGUGCCUGCAUGUACCGUAUGAAUAAGCAUCGG